AUUUGGAUGGGUUAAUUGGUAUCGUGUGGGUAAAUUUGUGAAGAAAAAUUUAUAUGCAUUGCAUCUGUUUGAUGAUAUGUCUAAGAGGCAUAAUAGGGAGAAUAUGUGAAUUUCAAUAAUGAAUAUAUGAGCUUCACCAGAAAACUAAGUACAAAUCUCUAAAGCUCUUUGUCCAGCCCUCAACCUUUGCCUUCUGCAAGAAGGUUCAUCUCUCUCUCUCUCUCCUCCUUUUUAAAUGCAUACAUGUUUCUAAGCUAAAAUACACUUCUCAGACAGAUGUGAUUAUUGGAUUGGAUUUUUCUUAUUAACCUUUGUAUGAUAGUGGCUUUAAUUUUUCAGGCUUAUACAACCUCAUUACUCGCAAAUUUUGUUUCGUGAACCUUUAAUGCCCUAUUGUCAGAAUAAGUUAAAGGAAGUACAAUAGUUCCAUCCAAUGAUGGUCGCUAUUUUUCAAAGGAUGUUGUGGAAUUUCAAGAUUGGAAACCUCUUGCUUUCAACUUUUUGAACAAAUUACCUUUGUAAGGUAUCAAAACAAUAAUUUUUCUACAGCAAAAAAAAUUCUUUUCCUUGUUAUGGUAAUUUUGUUAGAUCAGUCAAUGUUACACCAAUACUAACUCAAGUUUAUAAAUUGCUAGAAUGUCAAUUUGUAAUCCCGCAGCAACUCGCACACUUUACUAUCUAAUCUUAACUAUAUGUCGUCAUAGUAUUUUUAUUAAAAUAAAAAAAGGUACAUUUUUUUUAUCA
Pyrus x bretschneideri (Chinese white pear) is the source of this 744-nucleotide long non-coding RNA. RefSeq lists it as uncharacterized. The transcript has 2 exons. The record is from RefSeq and is a predicted model, not a curated record. Lineage: Eukaryota; Viridiplantae; Streptophyta; Magnoliopsida; Rosales; Rosaceae.